This 460-nucleotide ribosomal RNA is filed under the name uncultured bacterium. RNAcentral describes it as "partial 16S ribosomal RNA". It matches the Rfam family "Bacterial small subunit ribosomal RNA", at positions 338 to 795 of the family's 1533-position model. The record is from RNAcentral.
CCUACGGGAGGCAGCAGUGAGGAAUAUUGGUCAAUGGGCGUAAGCCUGAACCAGCCAAGUCGCGUGAGGGAUGAAGGUUCUAUGGAUCGUAAACCUCUUUUAUAAGGGAAUAAAGUGUGGGACGUGUCCUGUUUUGUAUGUACCUUAUGAAUAAGGAUCGGCUAACUCCGUGCCAGCAGCCGCGGUAAUACGGAGGAUACGAGCGUUAUCCGGAUUUGUUGGGUUUAAAGGGUGCGUAGGCGGCCUUUUAAGUCAGCGGUGAAGGUCUGUGGCUCAACCUGAGAAUUGCCGUUGAAACUGGGAGGCUAGAGUAUGUUUGAGGCAGGCGGAAUGCGUGGUGUAGCGGUGAAAUGCUUAGAGAUCACGAAGAACCCCGAUGGCGAAGGCAGCCUGCCAAGCCAUGACUGACGCUGAUGCACGAAAGCGUGGGGAUCAAACAGGAUUAGAUACCCUAGUAGUC